RNAcentral lists this transfer RNA (101 nucleotides) under Pheidole tristis. Its description in RNAcentral is "tRNA-Ser". Lineage: Eukaryota; Metazoa; Arthropoda; Insecta; Hymenoptera; Formicidae. The record is from RNAcentral.
AAUUAAUGAUCUUGUUAAAGAUUAUGUUUUGAAAACAUACUAAAGAAAUCUCAUUUUUCUAUUAAUUUUUUUCAUAAAUUAAAUAAUAAUUAUAAAUAUAA